RNAcentral lists this long non-coding RNA (1140 nucleotides) under Marmota monax (woodchuck). Lineage: Eukaryota; Metazoa; Chordata; Mammalia; Rodentia; Sciuridae. The record is from RNAcentral.
UAACUAUAACCCUAGCCCUAAAUCUAGCUCUAAUCAUAUCUAUUACCUUAAACUUAAACCUAACUCUAAUACUAAUCCUAGGAUAACCCUAACUUUAACCAUAACCCUAACCCUAUUCAUUACCAUAAACUUAACCUGAACCCUAAACCUAACAAUAUGCAUUAUUCUAACCCUAAAUAUAAUCCUAACCUAAUUUGAGCCCUAACCCUAAACCUUCACCUAAAAAAACCCUAACAGUUACUCUACCCUAAAAAUACCCCUAUCUCCAAAAAUGUCCCUAACACUCAACCUAAAACUGACACUAUACAUAGCCAUAAACCUAAACCUGAAAUUAUCACUAACCAUAACUCUAGACCUAACAUUAGCCUUAGCCUUAAACCUGGCCCUAAACCUAGCCUUAAUCCGAACCAAUACCCUAUCACUAGGCCUAACCCUAAACUGAACCCUCACCAUAGCCCUUAACCUAGCUUUAAUAUCAUACUGUACCCUAACCCUAAUUCUAAACCUAGCCCUAAACCAAUGCCUAGCCCUAAACCAAGGCCUAGCCCUAAUACUAAACCUAGUUCUAAUACUAGACCUAAUGUCACCCUAACCCUAAGACUAACUCUAACUCUUGAUCUAGCCCUAGCCCUAGUUCUAACAUUAUCCCUUCCCAUGACCAAAAGCCAAUACCAAACCCUAGCCCCAAACUUAGCCCUAGCCCUAAACCUAGAUGUAACCCUCACUCUAAAUCUAACCCUAACCUAAAACCUAAACCUGACCCUAACACUAGCCCUAAUCCUAAUGCUAAUUUGAAAACUAUCCUCACCGUAGCCAUAACAUUCAAGCAAAACUGAGCUACAGCUCUUAUCCUAACCUUAACCUAAACCAAACCCUAACACUAUGCCUAGCCCUUACCCUAGCCCUAAUUUGAGUCCUAAACCUAAUCGUACAACUAAUAUUUGCUGCGCCCCUCCCCUGACUCAGGCAAUGGCAAUGCCCUACUGAGGUGGAUGGCGCAAGGCAUCCAUCCUCUGGAGGAGCACAGUAUGUUUCUGGGAAUGGGCUGAUUUGUUUUUGUAUUCCUUUAAUAAGUAUAGUUGUAACUUCUCAUAUGACGAUUCAGUAUGAAGGAAAGAACAUGACUUUCCCAAUUAAUGC